This 520-nucleotide ribosomal RNA is filed under the name uncultured Glomus. RNAcentral describes it as "SSU rRNA". It matches the Rfam family "Eukaryotic small subunit ribosomal RNA", at positions 569 to 1091 of the family's 1831-position model. The record is from RNAcentral. Lineage: Eukaryota; Fungi; Glomeromycota; Glomeromycetes; Glomerales; Glomeraceae.
AGCAGCCGCGGUAAUUCCAGCUCCAAUAGCGUAUAUUAAAGUUGUUGCAGUUAAAAAGCUCGUAGUUGAAUUUCGGGAUCAAUACGUCUGUCGUGCCUUUGGUACGUACGGGUGUAAUUGGUUUCUACCUUCUGAGGAUCCUUGAUGUCAUUAAUUUGGUGUCUUGGGGAAUCAGGACUGUUACCUUGAAAAAAUUAGAGUGUUUAAAGCAGGCUCACGCUUGAAUACAUUAGCAUGGAAUAAUGAAAUAGGACGUUUGAUUCUAUUUUGUUGGUUUCUAGGAUCAACGUAAUGAUUAAUAGGGAUAGUUGGGGGCAUUAGUAUUCAAUUGUCAGAGGUGAAAUUCUUGGAUUUAUUGAAGACUAACUACUGCGAAAGCAUUUGCCAAGGAUGUUUUCAUUAAUCAAGAACGAAAGUUAGGGGAUCGAAGACGAUCAGAUACCGUCGUAGUCUUAACCAUAAACUAUGCCGACUAGGGAUCGGAUGAUGUUAAUUUUUAAUGACUCAUUCGGCGCCUUAC